CCUACGGGUGGCUGCAGUGGGGAAUAUUGGACAAUGGGCGAAAGCCUGAUCCAGCCAUGCCGCGUGUGUGAAGAAGGCCUUCGGGUUGUAAAGCACUUUCAGUGGGGAAGAAAGCCUUGGGGCUAAUACCCUCGAGGAAGGACAUCACCAACAGAAGAAGCACCGGCUAACUCCGUGCCAGCAGCCGCGGUAAUACGGAGGGUGCGAGCGUUAAUCGGAAUUACUGGGCGUAAAGCGCGCGUAGGCGGUCUGAUAAGCCGGUUGUGAAAGCCCCGGGCUCAACCUGGGAACGGCAUCCGGAACUGUCAGGCUAGAGUGCAGGAGAGGAAGGUAGAAUUCCCGGUGUAGCGGUGAAAUGCGUAGAGAUCGGGAGGAAUACCAGUGGCGAAGGCGGCCUUCUGGACUGACACUGACGCUGAGGUGCGAAAGCGUGGGUAGCAAACAGGAUUAGAUACCCCUGUAGUC
Molecule: ribosomal RNA, 465 nt
Filed under: Vreelandella stevensii
Lineage: Bacteria; Pseudomonadati; Pseudomonadota; Gammaproteobacteria; Oceanospirillales; Halomonadaceae
Description: partial 16S ribosomal RNA
Rfam family: Bacterial small subunit ribosomal RNA
Source: RNAcentral